AUGGUCGGACUAGAUAAGAGUGAUAGUUUUGAGUAUUUGGUUGAAAGAAUCAUUGACGGGCUAAAAGGAUGGAAAGAGAAAAUUUUAUCUAUGGGGGGGAAGGAGAUCCUACUCAAAGCAAUUAUACAAUCCAUUCCAGUUUUUGCUAUGGUUGUGUCCAAAAUCCCAAAGCAAGUGUGCAAGGAGAUUACUGAUGCGAUGUCUGCUUUUUGGUGGGGAGAUAAAGAAGAGCACAAGAAGAUGCACUGGUUUGCAUGGUGGAGGAUGUGUCUCCCAAAAUAUAAAGGAGGCAUGGGAUUCAGAGAUUUACAUGCUUUCAAUCUUGCUAUGCUUGCUAAGCAAAGUUGGCGGCUACUAACACACCUUGAUACUUUGUGUGCACAUGUUCUUAGAGCAAAGUAUUAUCCAGAUGGAAAUUUGCUUAUGGCGGGCCCAAAGAAGGGCACAUCUUUUACAUGGCAGAGCAUUGUGGCGGGUCUUCAAACCUUCAAGAGAGGGCAUAUCUGGCGAGUGGGGAUGGGUGCCAAAAUAAAUUUUUGUACGGAUCACUGGAUCCCACAAAGUCCUACAAGGAAGGUUAUCACGCCAAGGGGUAAUAUCUUGUUGACCACUGUUGAUGAACUUAUUGAUCCAGGAACAGGAUGGUGGGAUGAAACCUUGGCUUGGAGGUCCUUGUGUUUGGAAGAGAUCAUAGAUGCAGCUAUUCGCACUAAUCGCUCGGGCUCAGUGGUAAUGGAGGAGUUACUCAAAAAUCCGGUGAAAAAAACUCCUGUCUUGGGACAACUGGGGCUCCAAGAAAUGGUUGCCGUUGGCGCAUGGUACAUCUGGUGGGAACGCCGUGAAGCUGUAAAGUGGGUGAAUGUAAAGCCUGCACCAAGUUCCUCAUUUGCUAUCCAAGCUAUAACUUCAAAUCACGCGACACGUCCAACUGCGGUAACUUCUGAAGCUCGAUGGCAACGUCCGGCUCCUGGGUCAUACAAAAUGAAUGUGGAUGUGUCCUUCUUCGAGGACGGGAGUGGGGCUACAGCUGCUGUUCUUUGUAUUGCCGUGGAGAAGUGA
RNAcentral lists this ribosomal RNA (1059 nucleotides) under Triticum aestivum (bread wheat). RNAcentral describes it as "partial small subunit ribosomal RNA". Lineage: Eukaryota; Viridiplantae; Streptophyta; Magnoliopsida; Poales; Poaceae. The record is from RNAcentral.